AUACGAAGGGGGCUAGCGUUGUUCGGAAUUACUGGGCGUAAAGCGCGCGUAGGCGGACUGAUCAGUUGGGGGUGAAAUCCCAGGGCUUAACCCUGGAACUGCCUCCAAUACUGUCAGUCUUGAGUUCGGGAGAGGUGAGUGGAAUUCCUAGUGUAGAGGUGAAAUUCGUAGACAUUAGGAAGAACACCAGUGGCGAAGGCGGCUCACUGGCCCGAUACUGACGCUGAGGCGCGAAAGCGUGGGGAGCAAACAGGAUUAGAAACCCUAGUAGUCC
RNAcentral lists this ribosomal RNA (274 nucleotides) under uncultured bacterium. RNAcentral describes it as "partial 16S ribosomal RNA". It matches the Rfam family "Bacterial small subunit ribosomal RNA", at positions 523 to 796 of the family's 1533-position model. The record is from RNAcentral.